This is a long non-coding RNA of Patella vulgata (common limpet), 1062 nucleotides long. RefSeq lists it as uncharacterized. The record is from RefSeq and is a predicted model, not a curated record. The transcript is spliced from 6 exons. Lineage: Eukaryota; Metazoa; Mollusca; Gastropoda; Patellidae.
GUCGAGUUCCGGUUCCGCCAAGUAUGAGAUCAACGGAUGUAAUAACGGCGGGGCCUUUUCUGGAAGAUAUGUUUUUGUGGUUAGAUCCAGUGAAUAUCUACAUUUUGGCGAAUUUGAAGUUUAUGCCGAGUACUCUAAUGUGGCACUUAACAAACCCCCGGUUAUCAGUAGUACAGUUUGGGGUCCAGAUGGUUACACUAAUGGGAACGAUGGUGAUUAUAGAACCAUAACAACGGCCAAGGGUUCCACUGCAUGGUGGUGUGUCAAUCUAAAGACGCUUUUUAAUAUAGAAAAAAUUAUAAUCAAUAAUAAAGACACAGAUCACACUAUGAACAACCUAAACGGCUUCAGGAUUAACCUGGGCUAUACUGAUGAUUGUACUGCUUUUAGUUCAUCGACCCCCUGCUACCGUGAUUCAACCGGGGUUCAGAGGACAUAUACAGUAUCUGGUUGUAACCAGGGUAAGAUUGAAUUUGCCGGUCAGACAGUUUUCAUCUCCAACCCAAAUCUCAUAUCCUUUCGAGAAAUGCAGGUUUUGAUAAAAGAGCCCACAAAUCUUGCCCAUGGAAAAGGUAUUGUACAGUCGAGCACUGCUGGCAACCUGGCUGCAGAUUUAGCGAUAGAUAGUGAUCGUGCCACGUGUAGUAGUACGAAUAGCGAGGCAGCCGCUUGGUUGUGUGUUGAUCUAGAGAGGUACUACGAAAUUAGCAUCAUUUCCUUAGCUCAACAAUCCCAAGCAUUUGAAGUAAGGUUGGGCACAGAGAGUAGUUGCAGUGCUGAAGGCUUCAAAUCCUCGGUCUUAUGUUCAAGUGAAGCAGCUUCUGAAAAUGUCUUUAUCGGUAAAUGCUCGUCUAGCACAGUACCGCUUGCAGCCAGAUCAGUUUAUUUGGUAGCAAGGAAUAAUAAAAUAGCAGUCUGUGAUCUCAAAAUCAAUGGAGAUGAGAUCUUUAGUGAUUGUUUUGCAGCUUAGUAAAUUUAAACUGUUGGGAACUGACCAAACAUAUGCAUAUUAAAGUUGAGAUUUAACAAAACUCCUGAGAUCUAUACUAAAUAUAAGUUCAC